AUUCUUGCUCAGUGGCAAUUUCAUAGUCUAUGAUGUUCUGCUGAGACAUGAUUAUUGCUGGUUGAAAACUUUAUCCAAUAACCUGCCUGGAUGACUUGAAAUACAGUCAGCUAUGCUGAUCUUAUUUUUAUACAGA
RNAcentral lists this small nuclear RNA (136 nucleotides) under Mola mola (ocean sunfish). RNAcentral describes it as "U4 spliceosomal RNA (ENSMMOG00000006288.1)". It matches the Rfam family "U4 spliceosomal RNA". Rfam says of the family: U4 small nuclear RNA (U4 snRNA) is a component of the major U2-dependent spliceosome. The structure of U4 snRNA from yeast and human has been reported. Lineage: Eukaryota; Metazoa; Chordata; Actinopteri; Tetraodontiformes; Molidae. The record is from RNAcentral.